RNAcentral lists this ribosomal RNA (253 nucleotides) under uncultured bacterium. Its description in RNAcentral is "partial 16S ribosomal RNA". It matches the Rfam family "Bacterial small subunit ribosomal RNA", at positions 524 to 776 of the family's 1533-position model. The record is from RNAcentral.
UACGAAGGGGGCUAGCGUUGCUCGGAAUUACUGGGCGUAAAGCGCACGUAGGCGGCUCUUUAAGUCGGGGGUGAAAUCCUGGAGCUCAACUCCAGAACUGCCUUCGAUACUGAAGAGCUUGAGUCCGGGAGAGGUGAGUGGAACUGCGAGUGUAGAGGUGAAAUUCGUAGAUAUUCGCAAGAACACCAGUGGCGAAGGCGGCUUACUGGUCCGGUACUGACGCUGAGGUGCGAAAGCGUGGGGAGCAAACAGG